UGCAAACCAGUUGAGGGAAACAGGUGGAUCAAGGGCGCAAAAAACAAGGAAGAUGGUGGCAAGGAGAAACAACCGAAAAAUCUGACUGAAGAAGGCUUCACGCGCCCGCGGGUGAUUAGGGGCGCACCCUUCUGACGGCAUGUGAGGCCACACGCCUUAUAGGAUGACGGCGAUGCUUCAGGCGAGCGCCGACAACUUGGGUUCUUCCUCCUUGAGUGGGCAGUGACACUUACCUCUCUCAAUAGACCUGCUUUUUAGGCUUCUCACACAAACCUUAACUUUUCUGGUACUGUUCACGCUAAGAAAAGUUGGUUUAGCUCUGAUACCAUGUUGAAAUAAGAGAACAUUAAG
This 351-nucleotide unclassified non-coding RNA is filed under the name Hevea brasiliensis (rubber tree). Lineage: Eukaryota; Viridiplantae; Streptophyta; Magnoliopsida; Malpighiales; Euphorbiaceae. The record is from RNAcentral.